AUUCAACGCUGGCGGCAGGCCUUACACAUGCAAGUCGAACGAGUGGCGGACGGGUGAGUAAUGACUGGGAAACUGACUGAUGGAGGGGGAUAACAACUGGAAACGGUAGCUAAUACCGCAUACCAUCAGCUGUGCCCAGAUGGGAUUAGCUUGUGGGUGGGGUAACGGCUCACCAAGGCGACGAUCCCUAGCGGGUUUGCGAGGAUGACCAGCCACACUGUAACUGAGACACGGCCCAGACUCCUACGGGAGGCAGCAGUGGGGAAUAUGGGACAAUGGGGGCAAGCCUGAUCCAGCCAUGCCGCGUGUACGAAGAAGUCCUUCGGGUUGUAAAGUACUUUCGGCAGGGAGGCGUUACCUGCAGAAGAAGCACCGGCUAACUCCGUGCCAGCAGCCGCGGUAAUAC
RNAcentral lists this ribosomal RNA (406 nucleotides) under uncultured bacterium. Its description in RNAcentral is "partial 16S ribosomal RNA". It matches the Rfam family "Bacterial small subunit ribosomal RNA", at positions 32 to 526 of the family's 1533-position model. The record is from RNAcentral.